Molecule: ribosomal RNA, 440 nt
Filed under: uncultured bacterium
Lineage: Bacteria
Description: partial 16S ribosomal RNA
Rfam family: Bacterial small subunit ribosomal RNA
Source: RNAcentral
CCUACGGGAGGCUGCAGUGGGGGAUAUUGCACAAUGGGGGAAACCCUGAUCCAGCGACGCCGCGUGGGUGAAGAAGCGCCUCGGCGCGUAAAGCCCUGUCAGCAGGGAAGAAAAUUACGGUACCUGUAGAAGAAGCCCCGGCUAACUACGUUCCAGCUGCGCGGGUAAUGCGUGGGGGGCAAGCGUUAUCCGGAUUUACUGGGUUUAAGGGGGGCUCAGAGGGCGAUGCAAGCCAGGAGUGAAAGCCCGGGGCCCAAGCCCGGGCGUGCCCUUGAAACUGCGUGGCGAGAGUGCAGGAGGGGUAGGCGGAAUUCGUGGUGUAGCGGUGAAAUGCGUAGAUAUCAGGAAGAACACCGAUGGCGAAGGCGUCCUGCUGGACCGCAACUGACGUUGAGGCCCGAAAGCGUGGGGAGCAAACAGGAUUAGAUACCCGGGUAGUC